Molecule: ribosomal RNA, 446 nt
Filed under: uncultured bacterium
Lineage: Bacteria
Description: partial 16S ribosomal RNA
Rfam family: Bacterial small subunit ribosomal RNA
Source: RNAcentral
CCUACGGGUGGCAGCAGUCGAGAAUCAUUCACAAUGGGGGAAACCCUGAUGGUGCGACGCCGUGUGGGGGAAUGAAGGUCUUCGGAUUGUAAACCCCUGUCAUGUGGGAGCCAAUUAAAAAGAUAGUACCACACGAGGAAGAGACGGCUAACUCUGUGCCAGCAGCCGCGGUAAUACAGAGGUCUCAAGCGUUGUUCGGAAUCACUGGGCGUAAAGCGUGCGUAGGCUGUUUCGUAAGUCGCGUGUGAAAGGCGCGGGCUCAACCCGCGGACGGCACAUGAUACUGCGAGACUAGAGUAAUGGAGGGGGAACCGGAAUUCUCGGUGUAGCAGUGAAAUGCGUAGAUAUCGAGAGGAACACUCGUGGCGAAGGCGGGUUCCUGGACAUUAACUGACGCUGAGGCACGAAGGCCAGGGGAGCGAAAGGGAUUAGAUACCCCUGUAGUC